RNAcentral lists this ribosomal RNA (482 nucleotides) under uncultured bacterium. Its description in RNAcentral is "partial 16S ribosomal RNA". It matches the Rfam family "Bacterial small subunit ribosomal RNA", at positions 28 to 507 of the family's 1533-position model. The record is from RNAcentral.
GAUGAACGCUGGCGGCGUGCUUAAUACAUGCAAGUCGAACGCUCGAGCUAGGCUUGCUGGGUGGUUGUGUUGCGAACGGAUGAGUAACUCGUACGUAACCUGCCCUCUUCUUUGGGUUAGCUCCCUUCAACGGGUGCUAAUACUGGCUAGUCACUGAUUCUCGCAUGGUGGUUGGUGGAAAGGAUAUUUUUGGUCUGGGAUGGGCGCGCGGCCUAUCAGGUUGUUAGCUGGGUGAUAGCGUAACGAGUCUUUGACGGGUAGGAGGCGUGAGAAGGUGACCGGGCACAUUAGAACCGGGAUAGAGCCCAGACGCAGACGGGAGGCAGGAGUGGGGAAUAGUGCACAAUGGGCGAAAGGCUGAAGCAGCGACGACGCGUGAGGGAUGGAGGCUUGCGGGUUGUAAACCUCUUGCGCGCAUGGUCAAGCAGCAGAUUUGGGUUGUGGUGAGGGUAGUGGGUAAAGAAGCGCCGGCUAACUACGUG